UACGGAAGGUCCGGGCGUUAUCCGGAUUUAUUGGGUUUAAAGGGAGCGUAGGCCGGAGAUUAAGCGUGUUGUGAAAUGUAGACGCUCAACGUCUGCACUGCAGCGCGAACUGGUUUCCUUGAGUACGCACAAAGUGGGCGGAAUUCGUGGUGUAGCGGUGAAAUGCAUAGAUAUCACGAAGAACUCCGAUUGCGAAGGCAGCUUACCAGGAUGUUACUGACGCUGAAGCUCGAAAGUGCGGGUAUCGAACAGG
RNAcentral lists this ribosomal RNA (253 nucleotides) under uncultured bacterium. RNAcentral describes it as "partial 16S ribosomal RNA". It matches the Rfam family "Bacterial small subunit ribosomal RNA", at positions 524 to 776 of the family's 1533-position model. The record is from RNAcentral.